ACUGCCUUGUGCCAUGUCCACUGAGAACAAGACCCUCCAUGAUGGCGCCCCAAGGCCAUGUGAACCUAUGUGGAAAUAAACCCAGUAGAGCACAGAGCAGUGCAGGAUCAGAUGCCCAGCACAGGGUGCGACACUCCUUCUCAAAGGCAAGUUGGGUAAACAAAGAAUGUGGUCCAUGAUUAAAAGUACAAUGUAAGAUUUCCUAGGCCUUAUCGUUUCACUCUGUUUGUGCCUCUGUUGCUUCCUUUUUAUUUCUCCUCAAUAAUGAACAUUUAAAAAAAUGUUUAAAGAUAAGUCAAAAGAGAGCUGUUGACUGGCCUUCUGUGCAGCAAGGCAGGGAAACCAGAUUAACUGUGUUCAGUCUUGCAGCCACAUGUGAAAACAAGCUACCGAGAAAGAGCCCAGAUGGAGAAAGCUCUGAGAAGAGCCUGUAACAUUGCGGGUAAGGGGUGAUGGGGAACUGGCCCGGACCUCUGUCUCUGUAAGUACAUCAGCAGAAAGGUCUGUUCACUUACUCAACACUUAGGUCUUCCUUCUGAAUGUUCAAAAUGACCCUUUAUAAUGAAUUUUUCCUUUCUUAGCAAGAUGUCUUAAAGAAUGGGUAUUUGACUUUUGAAUGAAUUCUGAAAAAUGGAAUACUUAAGAGGAAAUUUCUCUAUCAUAUCAAAGUCAAUCAACAUGCCUUCUGUGUGACAGGCACUGUGUUAGAGACAGGACAGAGAACUCAGGAUGCUGGCUCUGCCUGCAAGAAGCUUACCUUCAAGAUGGGAAGGCGGGUAGGCAACCAGCACAUACAUAUGAUGUGACUCUGAUGUCUUCAUUUUUAUGCCCUGAAUAGUUCUCAAAUUCAAGUUUUGAAGACAAAUUACUUUAUGAUGUGAGAGCAAAAAGAAUGUUUUCUUUAAAUGAUACAUAUAUUGGUAGUUUGUUAUAUUUUGAAAUUUCUUGAAUUAUCAUUUUUCUGAGAAAUUUAUGAUCCAUUUCUCACAUUUUCUUGGUGUGGGGCAUGAUGGAGGAGGGUCAUUCAUUUUGGAAAUGUUUUUGCUAAAGUGUUAAGAAACGGAGGUUGAGAAACUUCAGGCUGGCUUCUUAGCUCCUGACUGCAUCUUUUAAAGAGAGAAGUGAGCCUGAAUACAUUAAUUUUCAAUGGGAAAGGACAGUUUGGCACAGAAGGGAGAAGAGGACAACCCAGGUGUCCUGGAAAAAGUAGGACCAAGAAAAAGGGAACAGGAUAAGGUGGUAUGAAUAGACUUUCUAUGAAUACAAAUUGAGAUUUCAGUCACUCGUGGGACUUGGUACCAGGCCUCUUAUGUUUUUGUUAUUGUUUGUUUUGUUUUGUUUUUUCUUAUGCGAAAUUCUUAUGCAUUUGGGGAAGCUGGGUGACGAGUACAUAGGUACUCUUUUGAUAAUUUUUGUAACAUUUUAGUAAGCCUAAAACUAUCCCAAAAUAAAACUAAAAAAUACAGACAAGUAAUAAGUUCAAACAGAAACUAGUGGAGCCAAGAUCCGAAUCUAAAUCUGUUUAACUCUCAAACUCUUUAUCUUAGCCAUUAUAUUAUUCUAUCACUCUUUUUAUAUGAUUAAGUGAUUCUAUUCCCAUGUGUUCUUCAUUAACAAUGUUUUCUACCUGGAGCUCUAUUUCCUGGGGACCAAACCUGUAAUCAUGAACUCCAAUUAUUUUUAUGACUGAGUUGCCUAUUUGGGAUCUCCUGCCGUCACUUAUGACUGAUGCUAAUUGACGAACCUCUUCAAAGUAAUUUCCCUUAAUCUUGGACAUAGUAUUAGUUAUCUUAUUAUACAACAAAUUUCCCGUACAUUUAGUAGCUUAAAAAUGUAAACAUUUUAUUAUCUCUGUGGGUUAGGAAUUCAAGAGUGGCUUGGCUGGGUAGCUCUGGCUCAUGGUCUCUCAUAAGAUUGCAUUCAAGAUGUUGACCAAUCAUCUCAAGGUUUAACUGGGACUGGGGGAUCCAUUUCAAGAUGGCUCACUUACAUAGCUGGCAAGUUGGUGUUGGCUGUUGAAGGUGACCUCGGUUUCUCUCCACAUAGGCCUCUCUCCAGGUUCUUUGCCUGUCUGCAUGACCUGGAGGUUAACUUCUCCAAGAACAAGUGAUCCAUGAGAAAGAAAGCCAGUUGAAACUAUCUAAGACCUAGUCUCAAAAGUUAUAUAACAUCACUUCUCUCAUAUUUUAUUUGUUAGAAACAAGUCACUAAGUCAAGUCCAUAGUCAAAAGGAGAAGGAAUUAGAUCUGACCUAAUGAAAAGAGAAUCAGUGUCAAAGAAUUUGCAACAUAUUUUUUAAAACCACCAUACCUGUGUUGUGGUCAAUGGUACAUAUCCUAACUAUACAUCAUGCCAUGGACAUGUCUGGCUACAGCUUAAUAUUUCUAAUUACUGCUCCUGGAAAUAAUCUGUCCUAAGAUUUAUUUCCUUAUUCAUACCUAGGACUUUGUUAAAUCUUCUGAAUCUUCUGAAUAGAAUAGAAGAUGAAAUGAUGGAAAACCCAAGCAAUACUUGCUUAGGACAAGUGGGCAUUUGUUGGCUCAUGCAACCCAAAGAACUCUAGGACAAUUAAAUCCCAGGAUGGGUAGUAAUUCAGAGAAAUAAGUGGGACCAGGAGCUUGAACACUGACAAGACUAUACCUUUGUGUCCUGUCUGUGCUCUUCUUGGUAUGUCAAUUGCAGUCUUUCUCACUUCAGAGAAGUUUUGUAUACAUGAUAGAAACUAUAGCUCCUGGCACUUCCAAAAUUUACAUUCCACAGUCUGACAUAAGAGAGAGUCCAGAUGAUGGUCAGCCUCCUGUAACAUGGUAGCUAGCUCCUGGGGUUUCCACAAGUUGGCCUUCAGAAGAAAAGGGUGCCCUGGAGGAGUGAGGAGAGUGAUGGAAAGGAAAACACAAGAGUCCUAUAAAGGGUUUCUAGAAAAAGUACCAAGAGUGAUAAGUAUAAAUACUGAAGGUAGAAACAGCAUUUUAUUUUCAUGCAUUUCUCCAUAUUCCAUUUUAAAUUAAAAUAGUGAUAAAAACAGCCUUUAUAUGGAAACUGCACACAUUUUUUGGUGACUUUCUUCUGUGUGGGUACCCACGGUAAUAGUUGGCAUUAAUAUUGACAUAUUUUAAUUAGAACAACAUGGCCAGUAGAUAUGUUCUAAGUUUUUAUUUGAAUUCUAGAAGAAGCAUUUAAGAACUGGCUCUAGUCUUUUCUUGGUUACAAAAUAGAAUUCACCCCCUUAGGUCUUUCGGUAACACAGAAGACACAUUUGCAAUAUUUUCAUCCAUGACAGGUGGACACAUUUCCCAGAAGGGCAAUAGACAAACUGGUAGGACCCAAUUCCAAGAAGUAAAAACCAUCAAACUUUUGCAAAACAACAGUUCUGCUAAUAGUUGUGCAUGGUGUGUGUGUGUGUGUGUUUGUGUAUGUGUGUGUGAGAGAGAGAGAGAGACUGACAGAGAAACAGAAUACUUAGAGAAGCAAUGCUAGAAAAUUGUAUAUACACCAAUAUGCCUAUUUCUUUUUGUAUUUUAAAUAGUCUAAUAUGACCAAAGAGUUUGACCAAAAAAGUCUAAGAUUGCUAGUUCUAUAAAUAAGUCUUUAAAGAAAUACACACAUGCACAUAUUAUGUACUUUACAUUUUCUUUAUAAAAUAUAUUUUAUAAAAUGCACAAAUACUAUGUACUUUCUUUAUGAAAAGUAUAUUUACUUUAGACAUUUGACUUUGGCAGGCAUUUUCUUCAGUUCCCGUCAUGGCCUGGUUCAUAAAAUUU
This 3761-nucleotide long non-coding RNA is filed under the name Homo sapiens (human). RNAcentral's name for it is "HSALNT0337167". Lineage: Eukaryota; Metazoa; Chordata; Mammalia; Primates; Hominidae. The record is from RNAcentral.